AUACGUAGGUGGCAAGCGUUAUCCGGAAUUAUUGGGCGUAAAGAGUGAGUAGGCGGUUUCUUAAGUUUGGAGUGAAAAACAGUUGCUUAACGACUGUUUGCUUCAAAAACUGGGAAGCUAGAGUGCAGGAGAGGUUAACGGAAUUCCAUGUGUAGCGGUGAAAUGCGUAGAUAUAUGGAGGAACACCAGUGGCGAAGGCGGUUAACUGGCCUGUGACUGACGCUCAGUCACGAAAGCGUGGGGAGC
RNAcentral lists this ribosomal RNA (246 nucleotides) under uncultured bacterium. RNAcentral describes it as "partial 16S ribosomal RNA". It matches the Rfam family "Bacterial small subunit ribosomal RNA", at positions 523 to 769 of the family's 1533-position model. The record is from RNAcentral.